RNAcentral lists this ribosomal RNA (253 nucleotides) under uncultured bacterium. RNAcentral describes it as "partial 16S ribosomal RNA". It matches the Rfam family "Bacterial small subunit ribosomal RNA", at positions 524 to 776 of the family's 1533-position model. The record is from RNAcentral.
GACGAAGCGUGCGAACGUUAUUCGGAUUCACUGGGCUUAAAGCGCGCGUAGGCGGGCUGUCAAGUCAGGGGUGAAAUCUUUCGGCUCAACCGGAAAAGUGCCCUUGAUACUGAUGGUCUAGAGUGAGGUAGGGGCAUGUGGAACUUCCGGUGGAGCGGUGAAAUGCGUAGAUAUCGGAAGGAACGCCGGUGGCGAAAGCGACGUACUGGACCUCGACUGACGCUGAGGCGCGAAAGCUAGGGGAGCAAACGGG